RNAcentral lists this ribosomal RNA (1021 nucleotides) under uncultured bacterium. RNAcentral describes it as "bacterial SSU rRNA". It matches the Rfam family "Bacterial small subunit ribosomal RNA", at positions 8 to 1013 of the family's 1533-position model. The record is from RNAcentral.
AGAGUUUGAUCCUGGCUCAGAUUGAACGCUGGCGGCGUGCUUAACACAUGCAAGUCGAACGUGAAAGUCCUUCGGGGCGAGUAAAGUGGCGCACGGGUGAGUAACGCGUGGAUAAUCUACCCUUAAGAUGGGGAUAACGGCUGGAAACGGUCGCUAAUACCGAAUACGCUCCCGAUUUUAUCAUUGGGGGGAAAGAUGGCCUCUGCUUGCAAGCUAUCGCUUAAGGAUGAGUCCGCGUCCCAUUAGCUAGUUGGCGGGGUAACGGCCCACCAAGGCAACGAUGGGUAGCCGGUCUGAGAGGAUGACCGGCCACACUGGAACUGGAACACGGUCCAGACUCCUACGGGAGGCAGCAGUGGGGAAUAUUGCGCAAUGGGCGAAAGCCUGACGCAGCGACGCCGCGUGAGGGAUGAAGGUUCUCGGAUCGUAAACCUCUGUCAGGGGGGAAGAAACCCCCUCGUGUGAAUAAUGCGAGGGCUUGACGGUACCCCCAAAGGAAGCACCGGCUAACUCCGUGCCAGCAGCCGCGGUAAUACGGAGGGUGCAAGCGUUAAUCGGAAUCACUGGGCGUAAAGCGCACGUAGGCGGCUUGGUAAGUCAGGGGUGAAAUCCCACAGCCCAACUGUGGAACUGCCUUUGAUACUGCCAGGCUUGAGUACCGGAGAGGGUGGCGGAAUUCCAGGUGUAGGAGUGAAAUCCGUAGAUAUCUGGAGGAACACCGGUGGCGAAGGCGGCCACCUGGACGGUAACUGACGCUGAGGUGCGAAAGCGUGGGUAGCAAACAGGAUUAGAUACCCUGGUAGUCCACGCUGUAAACGAUGGGUGCUGGGUGCUGGGAUGUAUGUCUCGGUGCCGUAGCUAACGCGAUAAGCACCCCGCCUGGGGAGUACGGUCGCAAGGCUGAAACUCAAGAAAUUGACGGGGGCCCGCACAAGCGGUGGAGUAUGGUGGUUUAAUUCGAUGCAACGCGAAGAUCUUUACCCAGGCUUGACAUCUAGGGAACCCUUCGGGAAAUGAAGGG